This 374-nucleotide ribosomal RNA is filed under the name uncultured organism. RNAcentral's name for it is "bacterial SSU rRNA". It matches the Rfam family "Bacterial small subunit ribosomal RNA", at positions 526 to 896 of the family's 1533-position model. The record is from RNAcentral.
CGUAGGAGGCAAGCGUUAUCCGGAGUUACUGGGCGUAAAGCGCGUGUAGGUGGGUUGGUAAGUUACUUAUGAAAGCUCCUGGCUAAACUAGGAGAGGUUGAGUGAUACUGCCCGUCUUGAAUAGAGGAGAGGUUGACGGAAUUCCGCGUGUAGUGGUGAAAUGCGUAGAGAUGCGGAAGAACACCAGUGGCGAAGGCGGUCAACUGGCCUCAUAUUGACACUCAGACGCGAAGGCAUGGGUAGCGAACGGGAUUAGAAACCCCGGUAGUCCAUGCAAUAAACGAUGCGCACUGGAUGUUCGUUGUCCUACGGGGCAAUGAGUAUCGAAGCAAACGCGUUAAGUGUGCCGCCUGGGGAGUACGGUCGCAAGGCUA